UACGUAGGGUGCGAGCGUUAAUCGGAAUUACUGGGCGUAAAGCGUGCGCAGGCGGUCUGUUAAGACCGAUGUGAAAUCCCCGGGCUUAACCUGGGAACUGCAUUGGUGACUGGCAGGCUUUGAGUGUGGCAGAGGGAGGUAGAAUUCCACGUGUAGCAGUGAAAUGCGUAGAGAUGUGGAGGAAUACCGAUGGCGAAGGCAGCCCCCUGGGUUAACACUGACGCUCAGGCACGAAAGCGUGGGGAGCAAACAGG
This 254-nucleotide ribosomal RNA is filed under the name uncultured bacterium. Its description in RNAcentral is "partial 16S ribosomal RNA". It matches the Rfam family "Bacterial small subunit ribosomal RNA", at positions 524 to 776 of the family's 1533-position model. The record is from RNAcentral.